UACGUAGGUGGCAAGCGUUGUCCGGAUUUACUGGGCGUAAAGAGCGCGCAGGCGGUCGUUCAAGUCGCGUGUGAAAGCCCCCGGCUCAACUGGGGAGGGUCACGCGAUACUGAUCGACUCGAAGGCAGGAGAGGGUAGUGGAAUUCCCGGUGUAGUGGUGAAAUGCGUAGAUAUCGGGAGGAACACCAGUGGCGAAGGCGACUACCCGGCCUGUUCUUGACGCUGAGGCGCGAAAGCUAGGGGAGCAAACAGG
RNAcentral lists this ribosomal RNA (253 nucleotides) under uncultured bacterium. RNAcentral's name for it is "partial 16S ribosomal RNA". It matches the Rfam family "Bacterial small subunit ribosomal RNA", at positions 524 to 776 of the family's 1533-position model. The record is from RNAcentral.